GAUGAACGCUGGCGGCGUGCUUAACACAUGCAAGUCGAACGGAGUUGAUUUAAGGAAGCAAGCUUGCUUGAAGAAUUGAAUUAACUUAGUGGCGGACGGGCGAGUAACACGUGAGCAACCUACCUCUUACAGGGGAAUAACAACGGGAAACCGUUGCUAAUACCGCAUGAUAUGUGCUGAAGGCAUCUUUGGCACAUCAAAAGAGCAAUCUGGUGGGAGAUGGGCUCGCGUCUGAUUAGCUAGUUGGUAAGGUAACGGCCUACCAAGGCGACGAUCAGUAGCCGGACUGAGAGGUCGAACGGCCGCAUUGGGACUGAGACACGGCCCAGACUCCUACGGGAGGCAGCAGUGGGGAAUAUUGGGCAAUGGGCGAAAGCCUGACCCAGCAACGCCGCGUGAAUGAUGAAGGCCUUCGGGUUGUAAAAUUCUUUGGACAGGGACGAAGAAAGUGACGUAC
This 457-nucleotide ribosomal RNA is filed under the name Firmicutes bacterium oral taxon G23. Its description in RNAcentral is "bacterial SSU rRNA". It matches the Rfam family "Bacterial small subunit ribosomal RNA", at positions 28 to 462 of the family's 1533-position model. Lineage: Bacteria; Bacillati; Bacillota. The record is from RNAcentral.